GACGAACGCUGGCGGCGUGCUUAACACAUGCAAGUCGAACGGGAAGGCCCUUUCGGGGGUACACGAGUGGCGAACGGGUGAGUAACACGUGGGUGAUCUGCCCUGCACUUUGGGAUAAGCCUGGGAAACUGGGUCUAAUACCGGAUAGGACUACGCGAUGCAUGUCGUGUGGUGGAAAGCUUUUGCGGUGUGGGAUGGGCCCGCGGCCUAUCAGCUUGUUGGUGGGGUGAUGGCCUACCAAGGCGACGACGGGUAGCCGGCCUGAGAGGGUGUCCGGCCACACUGGGACUGAGAUACGGCCCAGACUCCUACGGGAGGCAGCAGUGGGGAAUAUUGCACAAUGGGCGCAAGCCUGAUGCAGCGACGCCGCGUGGGGGAUGACGGCCUUCGGGUUGUAAACCCCUUUCAGCACAGACGAAGCGUAAGUGACGGUAUGUGCAGAAGAAGCACCGGCCAACUACGUG
This 464-nucleotide ribosomal RNA is filed under the name uncultured bacterium. RNAcentral describes it as "partial 16S ribosomal RNA". It matches the Rfam family "Bacterial small subunit ribosomal RNA", at positions 28 to 507 of the family's 1533-position model. The record is from RNAcentral.